UUGUAGGUCAUUAUCAGGAAACCGG
This 25-nucleotide non-coding RNA is filed under the name Mus musculus (house mouse). The record is from RNAcentral. Lineage: Eukaryota; Metazoa; Chordata; Mammalia; Rodentia; Muridae.